GAUGAAGAACGCAGCGAAAUGCGAUAAGUAAUGUGAAUUGCAGAAUUCAGUGAAUCAGCGAAUCUUUGAACGCACAUUGCGCCCGCCAGUAUUCUGGCGGGCAUGCCUGUUCGAGCGUCAUUACAACCCUCAGGCCCCCGGGCCUGGCGUUGGGGAUCGGCGGAGCCCCCCGUGGGCACACGCCGUCCCCCAAAUACAGUGGCGGUCCCGCCGCAGCUUCCAUCGCGUAGUAGCUAACACCUCGCGACUGGAGAGCGGCGCGGCCACGCCGUAAAACACCCAACUCUUCUGAAGUUGACCUCGAAUCAGGUAGGAAUACCCGCUGAACUUAAGCAUAUCAAUAAGCGGAGGA
This 352-nucleotide unclassified non-coding RNA is filed under the name soil metagenome. RNAcentral's name for it is "partial contains 5.8S ribosomal RNA, internal transcribed spacer 2, and large subunit ribosomal RNA". The stretch from base 1 to 120 matches the Rfam family "5.8S ribosomal RNA", at positions 35 to 154 of the family's 154-position model. The record is from RNAcentral.